CGUCUGUCCGUGUUUACGAGAGUGCAUUUAUUGGGUAUUUUUCAUGCCAAGAUUGUACUUAUUGGGUACUUUUUGCUUAUUGGGUAUACCCAAUAAGAAGUGUCGCUGAAUAUGCUUAAAACACCCUAAUUGGGUAUUUGCAGGUUAGUACCCAACAAAACUUGGACACGACGAUUUGUCCAAAAAAAGUGUCCAAAAAAGUUGCUUUCACGGACGCACCGUGUUUUGUUGUUUCAGUUUUACAUUCGGAACUCUAAAUUCUCGAGAGUUCCGAAAAUCAACUUCUCCUGAUCCUGAUCAUAACAACGUUUGUUUUCAUGGAAAAAAAAUAUGGCGACUAAGAAACACUUAAUGUCAACAAGAUUUUCUGAUUGACAAGAGAAAAGGUCAAACAGGAACUUCAGUUGUGAACAUUGCAGAGAACACACCCAUCAGAAGAUGACCCUCAGAAAUAGGACAAUU
Long non-coding RNA from Saccostrea cuccullata (small rock oyster), 462 nucleotides. RefSeq lists it as uncharacterized. The record is from RefSeq and is a predicted model, not a curated record. NCBI's taxonomy places the organism in Eukaryota, Metazoa, Mollusca, Bivalvia, Ostreida, Ostreidae. The transcript is spliced from 2 exons.